This 942-nucleotide ribosomal RNA is filed under the name Triticum aestivum (bread wheat). RNAcentral describes it as "partial small subunit ribosomal RNA". The record is from RNAcentral. Lineage: Eukaryota; Viridiplantae; Streptophyta; Magnoliopsida; Poales; Poaceae.
AUGUUAGAACACAACCUCUGUAUCAUCAACUGGAACGUCAGGGGGCUGAAUUGUCCAAAUAGAAGAGCCACUGUUCAUGAGACCAUUGCAUCCUCCUCCUGUAACAUCGUUUGCCUUCAAGAGUCGAAGCUAGAAUCGCUUGAUUGCUUCACAGCAUCCUUCCUUGGAGGCUCCAAAGUGCAAAGUUUUGCUUUCCGGCCUGCCAUAGGUACUCAAGGGGGUAUUGUGUUGCUGUGGGAUGAUUCCUUCAUCACAGCGUCCAACAUUGUCCUGGGGGAGUUUCAUUUGUCUGCCACCAUUAAGAUUAUCAACUCGGAUGUGGAGUUCUUGCUCACAAGCGUGUAUGGCCCCUCAGCCAACAACAGGAAGGACAAUUUCUUUGCCAAGAUGGUCGCGCUUAAGCUGGCUCCAAAUGUCAAAUGGCUUGUCACUAGAGAUUUAAACCAGAUUUACCGGGCAUGCGACAAGAACAAGUGGAAUGCUAAUAUCUCGUGCAUCAACCGUUUUAGAGCCGCUCUAAAUUCUUGUGAGCUAAAAGAAAUCCGCCUCCAGAAUAGAAAGUUCACUUGGAGCAAUGAGAGGAUUGAUCCAACUCUUUACAAACUCGAUAGCUUCUUCUGCAACUUAGAUUGGGACCUGCUCUUUGAUAGUCACAUCCUAACCGCGCUCUCUUCCUCCCUCUCAAAUCAUUGCCCGCUGCUCCUCUCUAGUGACCGAGGACCCAAACGACCGAGGAUUUUUCGUUUCGAGAAUUUUUGGACCAAGUUGCCCGGUUUUCAACAGGUGGUCGCCGACUGCUGGGGAAAGCCUUCUGUGCACAAUGAGCCAUGUCAAAAGCUGCAUGACAAGCUCCGUCGAACGGGUCUCCACCUCUGACGAUGGAGUAACACCUUAUUUUCCACCGCUAAGAUUCAACUACACAUGGCUCUUGAGGUCAUUCUC